This 522-nucleotide ribosomal RNA is filed under the name uncultured bacterium. RNAcentral describes it as "bacterial SSU rRNA". It matches the Rfam family "Bacterial small subunit ribosomal RNA", at positions 8 to 518 of the family's 1533-position model. The record is from RNAcentral.
AGAGUUUGAUUCUGGCUCAGGAUGAACGCUAGCUACAGGCUUAACACAUGCAAGUCGAGGGGCAGCAUAGUCAAAGCUUGCUUGAUUGAUGGCGACCGGCGCACGGGUGAGUAACGCGUAUCCAACCUUCCCCUUAGUAGGGCAUAGCCCGGCGAAAGUCGGAUUAAUACCCUAUGUUGUGUCAUGAGGACAUCUGAAUAACACUAAAGAUUUAUCGCUAAGGGAUGGGGAUGCGUCCGAUUAGCUUGCCGGCGGGGUAACGGCCCACCGGGGCGACGAUCGGUAGGGGUUCUGAGAGGAAGGUCCCCCACACUGGUACUGAGACACGGACCAGACUCCUACGGGAGGCAGCAGUGAGGAAUAUUGGUCAAUGGGGCGAGAGCCUGAACCAGCCAAGUAGCCGUGCAGGAUGACGGCCCUAUGGGUUGUAAACUGCUUUUAUGCGGGGAUAAAGUGACGUACGUGUACGUUUUUGUAGGUACCGCAUGAAUAAGGACCGGCUAAUUCCGUGCCAGCAGCCGC